This 715-nucleotide ribosomal RNA is filed under the name uncultured bacterium. RNAcentral describes it as "bacterial SSU rRNA". It matches the Rfam family "Bacterial small subunit ribosomal RNA", at positions 8 to 769 of the family's 1533-position model. The record is from RNAcentral.
AGAGUUUGAUCCUGGCUCAGAGCGAACGCUGGCGGCAGGCCUAACACAUGCAAGUCGAGCGCCGUAGCAAUACGGAGCGGCAGACGGGAGAGUAACACGUGGGAACGUACCCUUUGGUUCGGAACAACCCAGGGAAACUUGGGCUAAUACCGGAUAAGCCCUUACGGGGAAAGAUUCAUCGCCGAAGGAUCGGCCCGCGUCUGAUUAGCUAGUUGGUGGGGUAAUGGCCCACCAAGGCGACGAUCAGUAGCUGGUCUGAGAGGAUGAUCAGCCUCACUGGGACUGAGACACGGCCCAGACUCCUACGGGAGGCAGCAGUGGGGAAUAUUGGACAAUGGGCGCAAGCCUGAUCCAGCCAUGCCGCGUGGGUGAUGAAGGCCCUAGGGUUGUAAAGCCCUUUCGGCGGGGAAGAUAAUGACGGUACCCGCAGAAGAAGCCCCGGCUAACUUCGUGCCAGCAGCCGCGGUAAUACGAAGGGGGCUAGCGUUGCUCGGAAUCACUGGGCGUAAAGCGCACGUAGGCGGAUUGUUAAGUCAGGGGUGAAAUCCUGGAGCUCAACUCCAGAACUGCCUUUGAUACUGGCGAUCUUGAGUCCGGGAGAGGUGAGUGGAACUGCGAGUGUAGAGGUGAAAUUCGUAGAUAUUCGCAAGAACACCAGUGGCGAAGGCGGCUCACUGGCCCGGUACUGACGCUGAGGUGCGAAAGCGUGGGGAGC